RNAcentral lists this ribosomal RNA (24 nucleotides) under Symbiodinium sp. RNAcentral describes it as "partial 24S large subunit ribosomal RNA". The record is from RNAcentral. Lineage: Eukaryota; Dinophyceae; Suessiales; Symbiodiniaceae. RNAcentral also lists the same sequence under 30 other names.
UCUAGCAUGAAGUCAGACAAGUGA